This 447-nucleotide ribosomal RNA is filed under the name Abronica sp. 6 DS-2016. Its description in RNAcentral is "partial 16S ribosomal RNA". It matches the Rfam family "Bacterial large subunit ribosomal RNA", at positions 1829 to 2596 of the family's 2925-position model. Lineage: Eukaryota; Metazoa; Mollusca; Gastropoda; Nudibranchia; Fionidae. The record is from RNAcentral.
AGCCACAAGAAGAUAUCUGUGGUUUAACCUGCCCAAUGUAUAAUAAUUAUUAAUGGCCGCGGUACCCUGACCGUGCUAAGGUAGCGUAAUCAGUUGGCUUUUAAAUGGAGUCAGGUAUGAAUGGGAUAACCAGGUUGAGCUGUCUCUAAAAUGGUAUCUUGAAUUUACUUUCCAAGUGAAAAAGCUUGGUUAAAUAAAAGGGACGAUAAGACCCUUAGAAUUUUGUUUAAAAUGCUUAGUUUUUACGUUGCGUUAUGGUUUAGUUGGGGCGACAAAGAAAUAAUUAUAACUUUCUUUAAAUUUAACUAGCCGGAUAUUUCAAGACAGAAUAAAUUACCUGAGGGAUAACAGCAUAAUUCUAUAAGUGAGUUUGUGACCUCGAUGUUGGACUAGGAAGCUAGCAGGCUAGACGCUUGUUGUGCAGAUUCUGUUCGAAUUUUAACUCCU